CAGCAGCCGCGGGAACACGUAGGGGGCAAGCGUUAUCCGGAAUUACUGGGUGUAAAGGGAGCGUAGACGGUUAAACAAGUCUGAAGUGAAAUGCCGGGGCUCAACCCCGGAGCUGCUUUGGGAACUGUAGAACUGGAGUGUCGGAGGGGUAAGCGGAAUUCCCAGUGUAGCGGCGAAAUGCGUAGAUAUUGGGAGGAACACCGGCGGCGAAGGCGGCUUACUGGACGACAACUGACGUUGAGGCUCGAAGGCGUGGGUAGCAAACUGGAUUAGAUACCCCGGUAGUCCCUGUCUCUUAUAC
RNAcentral lists this ribosomal RNA (301 nucleotides) under uncultured bacterium. RNAcentral's name for it is "partial 16S ribosomal RNA". It matches the Rfam family "Bacterial small subunit ribosomal RNA", at positions 509 to 807 of the family's 1533-position model. The record is from RNAcentral.